Molecule: long non-coding RNA, 986 nt
Organism: Pseudopipra pipra
Lineage: Eukaryota; Metazoa; Chordata; Aves; Passeriformes; Pipridae
Exons: 2
Source: RefSeq, a predicted model, not a curated record
UUUGUCCCUAAAAACACAUUGUAGGUACUUCACCACUGGUUCUUUGUUUGCCCCAGGCUCAUAAUAAUAUCUGUUCCAAUAAUAAUAAUAUAUGUCCCCAAAGACUGACUAUAAAAAAGUAAUCUGUAAUUGUACUGUGGACAAUACAUUUCUUAUACAAUUCAUGAGUGUGGUACAGUUACAUAAUCUUAAAUCAGACACGAGAAAGAAACCAACAUACUAGAACAUUAAAAUAUUACAUAAAAUACAAUAGUGAUACAGCUUGUAAGAGAAAUCUCCUCAGGUAAUCUUUAACAAUAAAACCAUGAAUUCAAGCAGUGUGACAAAACAAAAUAUCAAGUUUCCCAUUAUGCUUUUAUACUCAACCAAUCUCACCAGAAUUACCAAAAGUCACAAAGGAAAAUAGCACUUUCCUUCUCUUCUCAUAAAGAGAUGUCUCUUUUUUUUUCCUCUCUUACACAUCCACUCUUGCUGAUCAGCCAGCCAAAAACUACCCAAAUAAACCUGAAAUGGAAGCCUAAUAAAAGCAUCAGUCUUGAUACUCCUCUAAGCCAGGAUGACCAGGAGCAAAAAAAUAUACACCUAUCUCUAUUCCAGCCUGCUCUCCUGGUUCCAGGAGCUUCUUCUUUCAAGCUAGACAUAACAUGGCACCUCUCACUCACCAUCUGGCUUUGCACUGCUUUGCUGAUUUCCUGUGCAAUAACGAAGCAAUACGAGACCACUGGUUUUUGCCAUAUUUCAUAACAGCUGCUUUCAGAAUUUCAUCCUUAAAAGAAAAAUAAAUAAACACUGUUAUGGAUCACAAAAACUUGCAAAACAGAAAAUGUGAGCUCAACCAAAGGAGAACACAGUGUAUUUCAUCUAACAGGUGACCCAGUGGAAACAGCACAGCACUGCUGCUUCUUUCCCACAUUUGAUUCUCAAGAUGAAUAUGGAUUUGUAUUUCGAAGGCCAAUGAAAUCAAUAAAGAUUAAAUGAAAAAGACA